GAUGAACGCUGGCGGCGUGCCUAAUACAUGCAAGUCGAGCGAACAGACGAGGAGCUUGCUCCUCUGACGUUAGCGGCGGACGGGUGAGUAACACGUGGAUAACCUACCUAUAAGACUGGGAUAACUUCGGGAAACCGGAGCUAAUACCGGAUAAUAUAUUGAACCGCAUGGUUCAAUAGUGAAAGACGGUUUUGCUGUCACUUAUAGAUGGAUCCGCGCCGCAUUAGCUAGUUGGUAAGGUAACGGCUUACCAAGGCAACGAUGCGUAGCCGACCUGAGAGGGUGAUCGGCAACACUGGACCUGAGACACGGUCCAGACUCCUACGGGAGGCAGCAGUAGGGAAUCUUCCGCAAUGGGCGAAAGCCUGACGGAGCAACGCCGCGUGAGUGAUGAAGGUCUUCGGAUCGUAAAACUCUGUUAUUAGGGAAGAAUAAAUGUGUAAGUAACUAUGCACGUCUUGACGGUACCUAAUCAGAAAGCCACGGCUAACUACGUG
RNAcentral lists this ribosomal RNA (497 nucleotides) under uncultured bacterium. RNAcentral's name for it is "partial 16S ribosomal RNA". It matches the Rfam family "Bacterial small subunit ribosomal RNA", at positions 28 to 507 of the family's 1533-position model. The record is from RNAcentral.